Molecule: non-coding RNA, 54 nt
Filed under: Trypanosoma lewisi
Lineage: Eukaryota; Euglenozoa; Kinetoplastea; Trypanosomatida; Trypanosomatidae
Source: RNAcentral
GAUAUAAAACAAACAACGUAAAAUGAAAUAUGGAUGGGUACGUGAAGGUGAGUG